AGAGAGAGAGAGAGGAGAGAGGGAGAGAGAGAGAGAGAGAGAGAGAGAGAGAGAGAGAGAGAGAGAGAGAGAGAGAGAGAGAGAGAGAGAGAGAGAGAGAGAGAGAGAGAGAGAGAGAGAGAGAGAGAGAGAGAGAGAGAGAGAGAGAGAGAGAGAGAGAGAGAGAGAGAGAGAGAGAGAGAGAGAGAGAGAGAGAGAGAGAAGUAGGAGACGACAGGAUGACAGAUUAUCCCUUGGGGCACCCAUAAACUGAGAGGGCUAAAAAAAAAAAAAAUAAAAAAAAAAUAAAUAAAAAUGCCUCACCCUAUAUCCCUGAUGGGGAAGGAAAUGGAUUAGGGCUUUGGAGGAGGAGAAUGUGGGACGAUUAUUGGCCAUGAAAGAUUUGAAGGCACCAUUGGUAAAAGUAGUGGGAACCACUAAGUGUCAGAUAAAGAUGAUGUAAAUUGUUACAACCGGGCCGACAAAAGACUACAAACAUGGCCGCCGCUCACAAACUUACCGGCUACAGCGCCAUCUUCUGGUUGGAUGCCGUCAUGACCGAGGGUAUGCAGGCCCCUCAGCAAAUGUUACCCACUUAAGGUGAACCCCAAGGAACAAAGGGGAAUGAAAAGGUGGAGAGUUGAAAAUGAACAAGAAAAAGAAGGCAUGUGGACAUUAUAUUAUGAACUAUUGUGGUGGAAGUCAUUCUUCUUAAAGUCAAGCAGAAUUGAAGGAGGUGGUGGGAUUGUCAUUUAUUUCCAACCCCCGAUUCAGCAAACAGUUGGUCUCUGCGGUCAAUGUCAAUGAACAAAGCCCCUGGUUGAAAAGACUGAAAUAAGUGAUGAACUGACACAAAAUUAAAAACCAAGGAGCUGUUGGCACAGAGUCCCCAUCUCGACUUGCCAAUCCAUUCUGUGAAAGCAGAGAACUGGGAUCUUGUAAAAUCAUGGAAGGAAGAAAAGCUGCAACCAAAGUGGACUGGACCCUACCUUGUGUUAUUAAUCACCGAGACAGCAGUACGAACAAAAGAAAAAGGGUGGACACACGCAAACCGAUUUAAGGGUCCUGUGGAGGCCCCACCGGACAAUAUCAGCCCGUAGACUGUGCGUGAAGGGAAGGAACCAUUGACUUUGUGCCUAUUCGGAUGUUGUAUUAUUCCCUGCGCUGGCCUUCAGAACACAGUAUGACUAGCGAGAGGAGGAUAGGGAGGCGAAGAAUCUGCUGCUAGCACUAGAAAAGGAAGAUAUAGUAUAAUUCAAAAGAUGCGUAGCAAAAAGAAAAAUGGUGGAUUGUGAGAGAAGGGUUAAUAGGGAUGGUUAAAUUAUACUAGAACUCUGAAAAAUAUAACUUAGAAAGAAAUGAGCUUAUCCGCAGAAGCCAGACUGCUGGUGGAAUAAAGUAACAAUAUACAGAACAGAGAGAAAUUCUAGAUAAAAAGUAGCAAACAGAUAACAACUUCAGCAGAAGGCCUUGGGAGUCUUGACGUCAGGAAAUGGUCCGAGACAUUCCUGGACUUUCUCGUGGGAAUGUGGGCUUUAUGUUAUGAUUGGACGAAACUCGAUGGGGAGACCUGAGGUAGUGACCACAGUGAAGAAGGGUAUAAAGAUAGAAAGCAUCUCCAUUUUCUUUGUGCCUCCAGGGGACAUCAGAGGAGAGACACCUAUUCUGCAGAAUAUGAAAUUAAUAAAAACACUUCUUUGUCUGAA
Molecule: long non-coding RNA, 1685 nt
Organism: Leucoraja erinaceus (little skate)
Lineage: Eukaryota; Metazoa; Chordata; Chondrichthyes; Rajiformes; Rajidae
Exons: 2
Source: RefSeq, a predicted model, not a curated record